UACUUCAAUUAUAAAAUCUAAAAUUCAAUUUAUUAAUAGGAAAAUGGAGCUAAAGGGCGAGAAAUUGCUCAGCAGAAUCAAUGCCUCCACACCCUAUCUUGUGAGGGUUAUGCUAGAGCUGAUGAUAUAUUGAUGGCAGAGAAAUAGAAGAAGAGAGAAGAAGAAGCUAAGUCUGAUCCUUCCAUACUCCUUUCUCCACCAUCACCUGUCUCUCGAGAGGAGAAAUGGAGAUAUGGACAUUAGUACAAGAAAGGGGGCUAUACAAGUAAGACAGCAUGGGAGAUUGCCGAGAGGAUUGAUGCUCUUAAGGAGCAACAAGCCCAAGGAAGCUUCAUUUCAAAGGGCAGAAAUGAUAUCUUAAUAGUUGCUACAGGCAAGCCAGAGCAUCUGGAUCAUGUGAGGGACAUUAGAUAUGGUGUGGGCAUUAAAGACUACUUUGGAGCACCUGCACAUCCCAAUUCAGGAGGUGUGGUAACUAGAGAAGAGCUUGAUACAUUGAUAUCCACUGUGAGGCAGCAAAUUAAGGAUGAGUUUCAAGCUUCAUUUGUAGCUCAGCUUCUACAAAUGAAAGAGCAAACGAAGGAGGAGAUGAUGAGCAUGAUGAGCUCACGACAAGAGACAACUGCUGAACCAGUUCAUACGUCUCCUGCAUUUCAUAGUACGAAAGGGAGUAAUGUUCUUGAGCGUGUGUUAGAGGGUCCUUCUGGUGAUAAUAUUGGUGAACCAUGUGAGAUAUUUUUAAAAGAUCUUGAUAAAUGCUUGGUUGCUCUUGGUAGCAUCUACAGCUUGGGGUCAACCAUCCAUCACAAGCAAAUUCAAGAUGAUCAAGUAAGAGUGGUGGUUGCAAAUCCAAAAGUGCCAGAUGCUUUGGUUCCAUUCCCUACUGAUGAGGUGAAGACUGUGGUUGAAACUGUUGGCAAUUUUAUCCUAUGGCCCAAGAGACUUGUGAAUCUAGUUCAAGUUGUGAAGCUUUCCUCACCAAAUCUCCUGAAACUUCCACAACCCUCGUUGACUCCGCAUCAGUGAAUGAUCUUAAUGGCAUAUGAUUUAUCAUUCAAAUUCUAGAGUUUAAAAAUGGAUCUGGAGGUUGUGGGUAAGAAAGACUGAUAGCGACAAUUGAAUGGGAAGAUUUAGUUCAACUUCUGUCGAAUAAUCAACUUACCACACCAUACAUUGAACUAUUUAUGAUGUACCUUCAUCAUUUGUGCAUUACAUCAGGUAAAGGUGAUAGGUUUGAAUUCCUUUGCCUUCAUCACAUGACAAAGAAAGGUAAUACUCCAAAGUUAAGGGUCGCGUACCUCCAACAAAGAAUAUGUGAAGUCAAAAAGGAUGUUUUUAUGGCUCCAUAUGUGCACUCGUAAGGAUCAAUUUAUAAUUAAUAGUUUUUUUAAUAUGGUUUUACUUUAACUUGUAUCAUAUUUAGCAGGGACUAUUGGUAGUUAUUUGUUCUUUCAAUGAAGAGCAACACUGUCGUCU
Molecule: long non-coding RNA, 1476 nt
Organism: Prosopis cineraria
Lineage: Eukaryota; Viridiplantae; Streptophyta; Magnoliopsida; Fabales; Fabaceae
Exons: 4
Source: RefSeq, a predicted model, not a curated record